GACGUGCUAAUCUGCGAUAAGCGUCGGUGAGGUGAUAUGAACCGUUAUAACCGGCGAUUUCCGAAUGGGGAAACCCAGUGUGUUUCGACACACUAUCAUUAACUGAAUCCAUAGGUUAAUGAGGCGAACCGGGGGAACUGAAACAUCUAAGUACCCCGAGGAAAAGAAAUCAACCGAGAUUCCCCCAGUAGCGGCGAGCGAACGGGGAGGAGCCCAGAGCCUGAAUCAGUGUGUGUGUUAGUGGAAGCGUCUGGAAAGGCGCGCGAUACAGGGUGACAGCCCCGUACACAAAAAUGCACAUAUUGUGAGCUCGAUGAGUAGGGCGGGACACGUGGUAUCCUGUCUGAAUAUGGGGGGACCAUCCUCCAAGGCUAAAUACUCCUGACUGACCGAUAGUGAACCAGUACCGUGAGGGAAAGGCGAAAAGAACCCCGGCGAGGGGAGUGAAAAAGAACCUGAAACCGUGUACGUACAAGCAGUGGGAGCCUCUUAAUGGGGUGACUGCGUACCUUUUGUAUAAUGGGUCAGCGACUUAUAUUCUGUAGCAAGGUUAACCGAAUAGGGGAGCCGAAGGGAAACCGAGUCUUAACUGGGCGUUAAGUUGCAGGGUAUAGACCCGAAACCCGGUGAUCUAGCCAUGGGCAGGUUGAAGGUUGGGUAACACUAACUGGAGGACCGAACCGACUAAUGUUGAAAAAUUAGCGGAUGACUUGUGGCUGGGGGUGAAAGGCCAAUCAAACCGGGAGAUAGCUGGUUCUCCCCGAAAGCUAUUUAGGUAGCGCCUCGUGAAUUCAUCUCCGGGGGUAGAGCACUGUUUCGGCAAGGGGGUCAUCCCGACUUACCAACCCGAUGCAAACUGCG
Molecule: ribosomal RNA, 861 nt
Filed under: Escherichia coli
Lineage: Bacteria; Pseudomonadati; Pseudomonadota; Gammaproteobacteria; Enterobacterales; Enterobacteriaceae
Description: partial 23S ribosomal RNA
Rfam family: Bacterial large subunit ribosomal RNA
Source: RNAcentral